AUCUUUUUGUGGUUCAUAAGCAUGAUGAUAGGGUCUUCACACAAACAUUUAAGAUGUGCCUCCCUCUCAUCUUAUUAUAAUGUCAGCAUAUUUCCUGUCUGAAG
This is a small nucleolar RNA of Pongo abelii (Sumatran orangutan), 104 nucleotides long. NCBI's taxonomy places the organism in Eukaryota, Metazoa, Chordata, Mammalia, Primates, Hominidae. The record is from Ensembl.